Molecule: long non-coding RNA, 659 nt
Organism: Leopardus geoffroyi (Geoffroy's cat)
Lineage: Eukaryota; Metazoa; Chordata; Mammalia; Carnivora; Felidae
Exons: 2
Source: RefSeq, a predicted model, not a curated record
GCGUCGGUCGGACCCGCUGCUUGGACUACAGAUUCUGCGCGGGGGCUCUCGGACACGACGCCAUCAAGGAAGUUGGACGACCACCCAGAGAGGGGGAAAGAAUUGUUGCAAAUCACAUCUCUGCUGAAGGAACUGUAUCCAGAAUUUACAAAGAACUCUUACAACUCAGUAGCAAAAAGGCAAAUAACCCAAUUUAAAGAUGGGCAAAGGCUCUGAAUAAGCCUUUCUCCAAAGAAGAGAGGCAAAUGGCGAGUAAGCCUAUGAGAUGCUCGGCAUCACUGGUCAGGAGGGACACACGGAACGAAUCCACCACGGGAUACUCCUUUCCACCACUAGGAUGGAAAAAAUAGAAGGCACACACACAAAGCAGACCAUGACACUCGUGGGUGAGCAGGGGGAGAAACUGGGAGACCCCUCCACCGCUGGCGGGGACGCCACCAGCAGAGCCAGGUGGGCAUUCUGGCACCUCCUCCAAAGGUUAAGCACAGAGUUCCCACGUGACCCACCGAAGUACGUGCCCGCCCGAGGGAAGUGGAGACAAAUGUCCGCAUAAAAACUCGGAACGUUCACAGCAGUGUUAUUCAUAGUCAUCAAGAAGUGGAAACAACUCAAACACCCAUCAACAGAUGAAUGGAGAAAUAAAACAUGGCAUCUGCGUA